This 402-nucleotide ribosomal RNA is filed under the name uncultured bacterium. RNAcentral's name for it is "bacterial SSU rRNA". It matches the Rfam family "Bacterial small subunit ribosomal RNA", at positions 355 to 774 of the family's 1533-position model. The record is from RNAcentral.
UGGGGAAUAUUGGACAAUGGGCGAAAGCCUGAUCCAGCAAUGCCGCGUGGGUGAAGAAGGUCUUCGGAUUGUAAAGCCCUUUCGGCGGGGACGAUGAUGACGGUACCCGCAGAAGAAGCCCCGGCUAACUUCGUGCCAGCAGCCGCGGUAAUACGAAGGGGGCUAGCGUUGCUCGGAAUGACUGGGCGUAAAGGACGCGUAGGCGGCGCACUUAGUCGGGCGUGAAAGUCCUGGGCUCAACCUGGGGACGGCGCUCGAUACGGGUGUGCUUGAGUGUGGAAGAGGGUUGUGGAAUUCCCAGUGUAGAGGUGAAAUUCGUAGAUAUUGGGAGGAACAUCUGUGGCGAAGGCGACUGCCUGGACCAGCACUGACACUGAGGCACGAAAGCGUGGGGAGCAAACA